Molecule: small RNA, 117 nt
Filed under: Macaca fascicularis (crab-eating macaque)
Lineage: Eukaryota; Metazoa; Chordata; Mammalia; Primates; Cercopithecidae
Description: Metazoan signal recognition particle RNA (ENSMFAG00000058304.1)
Source: Rfam by way of RNAcentral
GCUGGGCGUGGUGGCUCACGCCUGUAAUCCCAGCACUUUGGGAGGCUGAGGCAGGAGGAUCACCUGAGGUCAGGAGUUGGAGACCAGCCUGGCCAACAUGGAGAAACCCUGUCUCUA